This 463-nucleotide ribosomal RNA is filed under the name uncultured bacterium. RNAcentral's name for it is "partial 16S ribosomal RNA". It matches the Rfam family "Bacterial small subunit ribosomal RNA", at positions 28 to 507 of the family's 1533-position model. The record is from RNAcentral.
GAUGAACGCUGACAGAAUGCUUAACACAUGCAAGUCGAUGGGGAAGUGGUGCUUGCACCAUGGCAACCAUGGCGGACGGGUGAGUAACGCGUAAGGGACUUACCUGCAGGACUGGGAUAACAGGGGGAAACUCCUGACAAGACCGGAUAAUGUCAUGGAGCUGCAUGGCUUUAUGAUGAAAGGAGACGCCUGCGGAGAGCCUUGCGUCCUAUUAGCUAGUUGGUGAGGUAAUGGCUCACCAAGGCGAAGAUAGGUAGCCGGCCUGAGAGGGUGGACGGCCACAAGGGGACUGAGAUACGGCCCUUACUCCUACGGGAGGCAGCAGUGGGGAAUAUUGGACAAUGGGGGCAGCCCUGAUCAAGCAAUUCUGUGUGCACGAAGAAGGUUUUCGGAUUGUAAAGGGCUUUCAGCAGGGAAGAAGUAAGUGACGGUACCUGCAGAAGAAGCGACGGCUAAAUACGUG